GACCGGAAUGGACGUAUCUCUGGUGUACCGGUUGUCACGCCAGUGGCACUGCCGGGUAGCUAUAUACGGACGGGAUAAGCGCUGAAAGCAUCUAAGCGCGAAGCCCACCCCAAGAUUAGAUCUCCCUGGGCACUCGAUGCCCCUGAAGGUCCGUCGAAGACUACGACGUUGAUAGGCUGGGUGUGUAAGCGCGGUAACGCGUUGAGCUAACCAGUACUAAUUGACCGUGCGGCUUGGCCAU
This 241-nucleotide ribosomal RNA is filed under the name Gammaproteobacteria bacterium. RNAcentral's name for it is "partial 23S ribosomal RNA". It matches the Rfam family "Bacterial large subunit ribosomal RNA", at positions 2690 to 2925 of the family's 2925-position model. The record is from RNAcentral. Lineage: Bacteria; Pseudomonadati; Pseudomonadota; Gammaproteobacteria.